This is a long non-coding RNA of Phyllopteryx taeniolatus (common seadragon), 3686 nucleotides long. RefSeq lists it as uncharacterized. The transcript has 2 exons. Lineage: Eukaryota; Metazoa; Chordata; Actinopteri; Syngnathiformes; Syngnathidae. The record is from RefSeq and is a predicted model, not a curated record.
UCGCUCCUCGCUCCGGAUCUGGAGGCAGUCUACGGUGUGGGACUCGUCUUGAGGGAGAACAGCACCGUUCUGACACUGGUACUGACUGGACUCUGACUUUGACUUCCAUUUGGAAGCUGGAAAUACCAAAACAACUGCAGGCCCGGUGGGAGCGAGUGCUGCAGAAGGUGCAUGUGGAAGUCAUUGUCGCUCUGUACCGUUUUCUGGAUGCGCAGCUUGAAGAUGUUGGUGAAGUAGCAGGUGACGUCGAAGCCCAGAUAGACGACCGGAUAUCCGAUGCUAAGUCACAGACACAAAGUGAGGCAAAUGAAAUGAGGUUUAGUCAGUGGCGGGCUAUGUGUGUGUGUGUGUGUGUUUGUGUAUACUGUAAGAAAAUGCAUUGUUGAUCUCAGUUUUGUGUGAAUUGCACAUACCAGUGAGCGGCAAAGAGAUGAGAAAGAUUGGCAUGUGAGGUUUUAAGGUCUUUGAGUCGAAGUGAAGCCUCCGUGUACAGGAGAAGAAUCCACAAGGAGACUGUGGAGAUGCAGAUGCCCUUCUCUGAGAAGAACAGGCAAAAAAAAAAAAAUCUUUGGUAAAAAAUAUGGAGAUUUUGCACAUUUUUUAGACAGUCUGGAUGCUCACCUGUGUGCCAAAUGUAAUUGAAUACGACGUAGGUGCUGGCCACAAAGAAGAGCCAGUGCAAAGGAACAAAAAUCAAACAAAAGAUGUCAAGUGUGAAGGCGGCGCACACAAAGACGACACAAAUAACCUGCAAGCACACGAGUUAUGUCGUUAAUAAGAUGCGGUGGCACACUUUGCGUUGAGAAGGCAUCAUUAGUUUUGUUGCAGCCUGGUGCCCAAAAACAUAUUUUGUCAUCAAGCCACACUCUGUACACCUUAAUGAUAAAGCAAAAACAGAAUACAGUUGUGGCUCGAAAUAAAUUACAUAUUUUUCGUCAAGUGGCAAAUAAAACAUUUGAAAUAUUACGAAAACAAAAUUCUUCCUGGGUCACUUUUUUUAGUUGGUUGCCAAUUGUACUUGCAAUUAAAAAUUGUAUUCUCAAACACAAUUCAAUUGAUCAUCAAGUUGCCAUACAAUUUUUGUAAAAAGAAAAAAGUUUAAUUGAAAAAAAAAAAAACCCUGAUUCUGCCCCUUUAUCCACAUUUUUUAACAAAAUGUAAUGGCUUCUUCCUUGGACCACCCCUCUACAAUACUUCACGAAAUUUUGCUUUAUAUUUUUGGUACAAUUCAGAUAACUGUAUCUGUCCUACUAUUUACAGUUUUACAUCAAAAUGAUUACUGAAAAAAUAAAAACUGUGACUUUUGCACAGUACUACAAACAUCUAUAAUGCCAGUAGAUUAUACAUUUGACAGUGUGUAACACAGCCAAGAAUAGUACUUUGUCGAUGCACUGAAGUUGAUAUUAAAAAGAAGCAGGGGGUCCUCACCAGCCCGUGGCAGUGGAACGUCGUGUAGACGCUCCCGAAGAAGAGCCAGCACGGCCACAGGUAUUCCAGACGGAAUUCCAGGAGGAAAUCUGCCAGCAGAACCAACAUCCACGUGGCCAUAAACUUCAGGAAGGUGUACGCGCUGCAAAUAUAUACAUAAAGAUAACAAUGCAUUACGAAAAAUCCAACAGUAGUCAGAUAUUGUACUUCAGUUAUUUCAAAUCAAAGCAGCGAGUAUUAUACAGCAUACAAAAGUGUUAAAUGUAUGAAUUUGCUGUAUGUUAAACAUGCCAAUAUCCUUUUAAUUGGAACCACUUUACCAACAAUGACUCUCUUCAUUUUUUAUUUUUUAUCAGACCACCACAAAGCCCACCACAAGAGCCGCGCUUUCCUCCCUUUGUUCUGCUCAUCUAUAGGCUGCUGUUACCUUCUUUGUUUGGUAACCAUGGCAAUAUUUCAUCUGGAGGAGAGCGAGACAGAGAGGGAGGGAGGGAGGGCCACAGCAUCCUCCCGCACAUACUUUCAAUCGCAAUUGUUUUCAAACAUGACUGUUUAAUUUCUCUUUAAUCUUUUACAAAUCUCAAUAGUGGGGAGUUGAAAGAAUAAGGGUUUGGCUCCAUGCUUAUUAUUUUUUUCUUUCUUUCUUUUUUUUUUUUUAAGUCAUGUGAGAUGUUGUUCCCCAAAAGGAGCAAAAACACAACAAUUGACAUUGGAAAAUACAAAAUAAGAUUAUCUUUCUGAAAAAAAAAAGCCUUGACUUUAAUCAAGAAAAACAAAUGUGAUACACUAUAUUUAAUUUGAACAUUUACAUCAGUUGCACUUCAUUAAAAUGUGUUCAAAUAUAUUAAUUGAUUAUUUUGAGGAAAAGAGGGGAAAAUGAGAUCAGUUGACCACACUUUAAUCAUGUGCAACCAAAAAUGAAGUACGUUUUCAGCGUACUAAUAAUUUGUUUGUUGGAACAAAGCAGUCUGUUUUUAACUGGCAACAUUGUGUGGAAUCAACAGUAAUUUGGAUCUCUUUUGUCCUGUUAAUCGAGGUUAGAAGUUGUUCCAGAAUAGAGAGCAAAAUGGGACACCAAAACAACGUCUUGAAUUUGUGUAUUUAAAAAUAUAGCUGUACAGUAGAGUACAAAUAGGAUUUUAUAAAUUCGUUAUUUCAAUAAUAUAUUUUUUAAUAAUUUUAAUAUUUGCUAUUUUCAACUGAAUUAAAAAAAUAUUUUUUUUUUUAGUCGACGUUUAAUUUUUUUGGAGGGGGGGGGGGCGGCGCGUUAUAAACAAAGAACAAAAUAAUGGCUAAUGUUGUGCAUGGCUGGCAAAACAUGUGACAUUGCAUGGCAAGUAGCAUCCUUUCCGAAUUAUGAAUCCAACUGUUAUGAAAUGGCACGAGUCAAAUGAGUGGCAAUAGAAGCAGGCCGACGGUAACUGAACGCAGCUUUCUUCUUUUUUGUUGUUGUUGUUGUCAUCGUGGACGACGAGGCGCCACGCACGUUCACAAACAAGGACACGAAGGAGGCAGCCAGUGUGGAGGUGACGUGAUGCAGGCAGGUGAGCGGCGGCGCCGGCAUGCACACAAAGACGCAGACGGGCAGCACCACAACAAAAGCAGGCAGGCAGCCGGGCUACCUUUCUGACAGACGCUCGCUUAUUUUCAAUUUCUUCAUCUUUCGCAGCCUGCUCGCGUCCACGUAACGUUUCUUCAUGGUCUCUUCUUCUUCUUUCUCCCUCCGCCCGUCGCCCCCUUGUUCUUUUUUUUUUUUUUUUGUCCUCCACCGCGACGGGCCGCGAAGAAGAGGAAGAGGCGGGAGAGGAGGAGGAAGAUGGGACGUCUGUUUGCUGCGCGAUGAAGAGGAUGCUCACUUGCAACCUGUGACGAUGACGAGGAUGGUGGCGAGGAUGAGGAUGAGGAUGAUGUCUGGGAGCAAAAAUAGGGUCGCAGUGAGCGGCGCUGCUGCGCAUGCGCAGUGGAUGGCGCACCUACAAGCGUUGCAAGCGGGCAAGCAUAAAUGUCUUCCAAACGGUUCCGUAAUGGCUCAACAGAACAAUUAACAAGUCACUUUUGGGGACAUUUUGUGUUCAAUGGCCAAAAUAAAGAAACAUGCACUUGUUAGUUGUCCUGAGACAAAAUGUAAUCGUCAAAUCUUAGUUCAAAUGCUAAAUAGUAAAUACUAGAGCGGCUCCAAUUACCGGAGACAAAUCCCUUGUGUGUUUUUUGGACAUACUUGGCAAAUAAAGAUGCUUCUGAUUCUGAUAGCUCUUGAA